Molecule: ribosomal RNA, 532 nt
Filed under: Trichoderma crassum
Lineage: Eukaryota; Fungi; Ascomycota; Sordariomycetes; Hypocreales; Hypocreaceae
Description: eukaryotic LSU rRNA
Rfam family: Eukaryotic large subunit ribosomal RNA
Source: RNAcentral
AAAUCUGGCCCCUCGGGGUCCGAGUUGUAAUUUGUAGAGGAUGCUUUUGGUGAGGUGCCGCCCGAGUUCCCUGGAACGGGACGCCACAGAGGGUGAGAGCCCCGUCUGGCUGGCCACCGAGCCUCUGUAAAGCUCCUUCGACGAGUCGAGUAGUUUGGGAAUGCUGCUCAAAAUGGGAGGUAUAUGUCUUCUAAAGCUAAAUAUUGGCCAGAGACCGAUAGCGCACAAGUAGAGUGAUCGAAAGAUGAAAAGCACCUUGAAAAGAGGGUUAAAUAGUACGUGAAAUUGUUGAAAGGGAAGCGCUUGUGACCAGACUUGGGCGCGGCGGAUCAUCCGGGGUUCUCUCCGGUGCACUUCGCCGCGUCUAGGCCAGCAUCAGUUCGUCGCGGGGGAAAAAGGCUUCGGGAACGUGGCUCCUCCGGGAGUGUUAUAGCCCGUUGCAUAAUACCCUGCGGUGGACUGAGGACCGCGCAUCUGCAAGGAUGCUGGCGUAAUGGUCACCAGCGACCCGUCUUGAAACACGGACCAAGGA